AGAUUUGCUAUAAAUAUUCGACAUUUAUACCAGUGCCAAAGUAGCCGUUAUGCAACUAGCCGUUGUCUGUAAGACAUGGAGGAAAGAAAACAAGAUGAGGUGGCUGGAGGAGGGUGGAGACGGAGAGGGCUUGUAACUUCUAAAGGAAUGUGAGUUUUUAGGGUUUUUGCAGCGCAGCGUAUGCCGUUCGCGUCUUUUAUCCGGGAUCAGGGUCAUCGCUGAUCGUGUUUUGGCCGGCCCCCACAUGCUCUGCUUCAGCCGUUUCCCAAAGCAUUUUCAGCAACUUCAAGCAUGUGCAAGUUGGUGUUUGAUAUUGUCAAAUAAGUGUCAACAAAUGAAGGGUAGAAUAUAUGUUGUAAACAUAGGAGUGUUGGUGGUAUGACGUAUGGCAAUGCCUGAAAUUGAAACUGCAGUGUCUCCAUCCUAGCUGAGGAUAAAGGCAGUCCAGAAUAAUCAUAUCCACUGAAGAGGUAAAUACCCAAAAAUCUCUAGACUUAUGUACUUACCCUUGUCUUAUGAGAAAAAGAAAAGAAAUGAAACAAAAAAAAAAAUGUCUCACCAUGGCAAACUAUUUUUCUACAUCAGCUUGGUCCAGGCUUACAUUGUAUUCUUAUUUUAGUUGUUUUCGCUGCUACGUUUUUCUUUCUUACAGGAUAAGACAACUGAUGUUGUCUUUCCACAAGGUGAAAACAGAGAGAGGCAACAUGUCUUUGAUGUUAAACUAUUAUCCAAAGGCAUUUGCAAUCCUAUCUUUCCAUUUCAAAUUCUCUUCUAUGUGCUCUUUUUCAGUCCAUCCAGUUGAUCAACUCUGACUAUUUGAGUUUUAUUUAGGAUACCAGUGCUAUGACGCAAUCCUUUUAUGUUUAAAUGCCUGAAAUGCACCCAUGAGAGGUUUACAUUUUCCUUGUUUUGUUGGGAGCUUACUGGGACACCCUUGAAAGUUCAGAAAUCUUGAUGUGAAAUUAUAUCUUCACAUUGCCUUCCAUGCUUUAGCUUACUGUAACAUUUUCUUUCUUUUCUUUUUCUUCUAACUUCUUAUUGCGCAUUAUCAAUAAUCUUUCUAAGGUAUGGAAGUCUGUGUAACACUCAUUACAGUGAGGCUGUCUCUGUUAACAUCUGUUUUUGGGUGCCUACUGCAUUUUCUGUAUUCACUUCGUUUAUUAGUAGACCUAUAUUUUAUUAA
This is a long non-coding RNA of Vitis vinifera (wine grape), 1183 nucleotides long. RefSeq lists it as uncharacterized. The record is from RefSeq and is a predicted model, not a curated record. The transcript is spliced from 2 exons. NCBI's taxonomy places the organism in Eukaryota, Viridiplantae, Streptophyta, Magnoliopsida, Vitales, Vitaceae.